This is a transfer RNA of Loxodonta africana (African savanna elephant), 71 nucleotides long. It matches the Rfam family "tRNA". From Rfam's summary of the family: Transfer RNA (tRNA) molecules are approximately 80 nucleotides in length. Their secondary structure includes four short double-helical elements and three loops (D, anti-codon, and T loops). Lineage: Eukaryota; Metazoa; Chordata; Mammalia; Proboscidea; Elephantidae. The record is from Rfam.
GCAGUGGUGGUUCACUGGUAGAAUUCUCACCUUCCAUGUGAGAGACCCAGGUUCAAUUCCCAGACAAUGCA